CCUACGGGAGACAGCAGUGAGGAAUAUUGGUCAAUGGACGAGAGUCUGAACCAGCCAAGUAGCGUGAAGGAUGAAUGCCCUAUGGGUUGUAAACUUCUUUUAUAUGGGAAUAAAAUGUUCCACGUGUGGGAUUUUGUAUGUACCAUAUGAAUAAGGAUCGGCUAACUCCGUGCCAGCAGCCGCGGUAAUACGGAGGAUCCGAGCGUUAUCCGGAUUUAUUGGGUUUAAAGGGAGCGUAGGUGGAUUGUUAAGUCAGUUGUGAAAGUUUGCGGCUCAACCGUAAAAUUGCAGUUGAAACUGGCAGUCUUGAGUACAGUAGAGGUGGGCGGAAUUCGUGGUGUAGCGGUGAAAUGCUUAGAUAUCACGAAGAACUCCGAUUGCGAAGGCAGUUCACUGGACUGCAACUGACACUGAGGCUCGAAAGUGUGGGUAUCAAACAGGAUUAGAUACCCGAGUAGUC
RNAcentral lists this ribosomal RNA (460 nucleotides) under uncultured bacterium. RNAcentral describes it as "partial 16S ribosomal RNA". It matches the Rfam family "Bacterial small subunit ribosomal RNA", at positions 338 to 795 of the family's 1533-position model. The record is from RNAcentral.